This 253-nucleotide ribosomal RNA is filed under the name uncultured bacterium. RNAcentral's name for it is "partial 16S ribosomal RNA". It matches the Rfam family "Bacterial small subunit ribosomal RNA", at positions 524 to 776 of the family's 1533-position model. The record is from RNAcentral.
UACGUAGGGUGCAAGCGUUGCCCGGAAUUAUUGGGCGUAAAGAGCUCGUAGGCGGUUUGUUGCGUCGGCUGUGAAAUCCCGAGGCUCAACCUCGGGUCUGCAGUCGAUACGAGCAAACUAGAGUGUUGCAGGGGAGACUGGAAUUCCUGGUGUAGCGGUGAAAUGCGCAGAUAUCAGGAGGAACACCGGUGGCGAAGGCGGGUCUCUGGGCAACAACUGACGCUGAGGAGCGAAAGCGUGGGGAGCGAACAGG